UGGCCACCCUAGCUUUGUCAUGUCAUGCUCUUUCACCAACCAGGUGAUCGCCCAGCUCGAGCUGUGGAAGGAGAAGGCAACCGGCAAGUACGAGAAGAAGGUGUACGUUUUGCCUAAGCACCUUGAUGAGAAGGUGGCUGCUCUUCACCUUGGAAAGCUUGGGGCUAACCUCACCAAGCUCACCAAGGAUCAGGCUGACUACAUUAGCGUCCCCAUUGAGGGUCCUUACAAGCCUCCUCACUACAGGUACUGAGGAGAGAAUACGAGAGAGAGAGAGGGAGAGAGUUGGACUAGAAAAAGGAACCAUACAACGGGAUGGUUUGAUUGUUUGU
Molecule: long non-coding RNA, 332 nt
Filed under: Gossypium barbadense (sea-island cotton)
Lineage: Eukaryota; Viridiplantae; Streptophyta; Magnoliopsida; Malvales; Malvaceae
Description: long non-coding RNA (GBAR_LNC019945)
Source: RNAcentral